UUACUAGCAAACUGAGACGUAUUGCUGUGUAUCACAAAUCCUUUCCUAUGAUUGAAAGGUAAGGAUAGGAGCCGUCGUCAAUCCUUUUUUUAGCUCUUUAAAACUCCUUUGUCAAUUCUCACUCCAUACAUAUUUGGUUCUGUUAUGAGGAAUCAAGUGAAGGGUGCGGUAUAAUACCCGUACCCAAUUAAUUUUAAAAUCUAAAUAUAUGGACGUGAUAAACCCAUUAGUAAAUUGGGAUUUAUUUGUGCCGUCGGAUUUAACUGAUUUCGUUGGAUUUGUCGGUUUAAACCGAUUUGGUUGGAUUUGAUUUUCGGAUUAGUUAUACUCUAACACUUGUUAGAGUAGGAUUUAGAUUUAACCCUAAUUAAUCACCUAUCAAUAGGUAACUUAGAAAGAGUGUACGGCCAAAAAAAUAUAUAAUAAAAUAUUGUGCCCGGAUUCUUUAUGCGUGGCUGCUAGUGGGAGCAAGAUCCGACGAUCGUAUGGGAAGAAGAGAGAGAACUAGUGUACCACCAUCGUCAACGCCGGAGUGGUCGCCGGCCACCUACGAUCGGGUCGAGGCGAACUCCUCCGCAUGGGGUGAUCAGGGUUAGCCACGAAAGGGGUUUGGGAGAUUCUUUGAUUGGGUUGGGAAGGAGAAGGAACAAGAUGGAAUUAUUUUGGAUAUAGCUAGACCUGGUUGAUGGGCGCAGGAGAAUAGUCUACGGAGGUUCCAGUUUCGGUUCAUUGGAACGUGGACGUCGAUUCGUUGCAAAUUUACACGUUUGGGGAAUAAUGGAACAACUAAUGAGGUUUUGCUCUUUGUUCGAUUGAAUGAGAAUAUGUAUUCUUUGCAAAUUUACCCAGCUAAGGCGCAGUAGAAUAGUCUAAU
Molecule: long non-coding RNA, 874 nt
Organism: Ananas comosus (pineapple)
Lineage: Eukaryota; Viridiplantae; Streptophyta; Magnoliopsida; Poales; Bromeliaceae
Exons: 3
Source: RefSeq, a predicted model, not a curated record